RNAcentral lists this long non-coding RNA (224 nucleotides) under Elaeis guineensis (African oil palm). RNAcentral's name for it is "long non-coding RNA (EGUI_LNC020207)". The record is from RNAcentral. Lineage: Eukaryota; Viridiplantae; Streptophyta; Magnoliopsida; Arecales; Arecaceae.
UCCGCUACAGAAGUUCGGUCGGAGUCUGAUCUCCGUAGAAGUCUGGAUGGGGAUCAUUUGUCGAGGAAGCUCGGUCGAAGCCUGCAGUAGAAGCUCGGAGUAGAUCGCUUGCAGUAGAAGCUCGGAGUAAAUUGCUUGCAGUAGAAGCUCGGAGUAGAUCGCUUGCAGUAGAAGCUCGGAGUCUGGCCCUUGUAGGUGUUCGGAUGAGGUCUACCUGCUACAGG